GAUGAACGCUGGCGGCGUGCUUAACACAUGCAAGUCGAACGAAGCACUUUUACAGAUUUCUUCGGAAUGAAGUUUUAGUGACUGAGUGGCGGACGGGUGAGUAACGCGUGGGUAACCUGCCUCACACAGGGGGAUAACAGUUGGAAACGACUGCUAAUACCGCAUAAGCGCACAGUACCGCAUGGUACGGUGUGAAAAACUCCGGUGGUGUGAGAUGGACCCGCGUCUGAUUAGCUAGUUGGCAGGGCAACGGCCUACCAAGGCGACGAUCAGUAGCCGACCUGAGAGGGUGACCGGCCACAUUGGGACUGAGACACGGCCCAAACUCCUAUGGGAGGCAGCAGUGGGGAAUAUUGCACAAUGGGGGAAACCCUGAUGCAGCGACGCCGCGUGAGCGAAGAAGUAUUUCGGUAUGUAAAGCUCUAUCAGCAGGGAAGAAGAAAUGACGGUACCUGACUAAGAAGCACCGGCUAAAUACGUGCCAGCAGCCGCGGUAA
Molecule: ribosomal RNA, 497 nt
Filed under: uncultured bacterium
Lineage: Bacteria
Description: partial 16S ribosomal RNA
Rfam family: Bacterial small subunit ribosomal RNA
Source: RNAcentral